CACAUGCAAGUCGAGCGGUAGAGAGGAGCUUGCUUCUCUUGAGAGCGGCGGACGGGUGAGUAAUGCCUAGGAAUCUGCCUAGUGGUGGGGGAUAACGUUCGGAAACGGACGCUAAUACCGCAUACGUCCUACGGGAGAAAGCGGGGGAUCUUCGGACCUCGCGCCAUUAGAUGAGCCUAGGCCGGAUUAGCUAGUUGGUGAGGUAAUGGCUCACCAAGGCGACGAUCCGUAACUGGUCUGAGAGGAUGAUCAGUCACACUGGAACUGAGACACGGUCCAGACUCCUACGGGAGGCAGCAGUGGGGAAUAUUGGACAAUGGGCGAAAGCCUGAUCCAGCCAUGCCGCGUGUGUGAAGAAGGUCUUCGGAUUGUAAGCACUUUAAGUUGGGAGGAAGGGUUGUAGAUUAAUACUCUGCAAUUUUGACGUUACCGACAGAAUAAGCACCGGCUAACUUCGUGCCAGCAGCCGCGGUAAUACGAAGGGUGCAAGCGUUAAUCGGAAUUACUGGGCGUAAGCGCGCGUAGGUGAUUCGUUAAGUUGUAUGUG
RNAcentral lists this ribosomal RNA (547 nucleotides) under bacterium enrichment culture clone Ean2. Its description in RNAcentral is "bacterial SSU rRNA". It matches the Rfam family "Bacterial small subunit ribosomal RNA", at positions 52 to 596 of the family's 1533-position model. The record is from RNAcentral.